Molecule: ribosomal RNA, 478 nt
Filed under: uncultured bacterium
Lineage: Bacteria
Description: partial 16S ribosomal RNA
Rfam family: Bacterial small subunit ribosomal RNA
Source: RNAcentral
GACGAACGCUGGCGGCGUGCUUAACACAUGCAAGUCGAACGGUAAGGCCCUUCGGGGUACACGAGUGGCGAACGGGUGAGUAACACGUGGGUGAUCUGCCCUGCACUUUGGGAUAAGCCUGGGAAACUGGGUCUAAUACCGGAUAGGACUCCGGACUGCAUGGUCUGGGGUGGAAAGCUUUUGCGGUGUGGGAUGGGCCCGCGGCCUAUCAGCUUGUUGGUGGGGUGAUGGCCUACCAAGGCGACGACGGGUAGCCGGCCUGAGAGGGUGACCGGCCACACUGGGACUGAGAUACGGCCCAGACUCCUACGGGAGGCAGCAGUGGGGAAUAUUGCACAAUGGGCGCAAGCCUGAUGCAGCGACGCCGCGUGAGGGAUGACGGCCUUCGGGUUGUAAACCUCUUUCAGCAUCGACGAAGCGAAAGUGACGGUAGGCGCAGAAGAAGGACCGGUCAACUACGUGCCAGCCGCCGCAGUAA